UGAGGAAUAUUGGUCAAUGGACGGAAGUCUGAACCAGCCAAGUAGCGUGCAGGAUUGACGGCCCUAUGGGUUGUAAACUGCUUUUGUUGGGGAGUAAAGUGAGGCACGCGUGCCUUUUUGCAUUUACCCUUCGAAUAAGGACCGGCUAAUUCCGUGCCAGCAGCCGCGGUAAUACGGAAGGUCCAGGCGUUAUCCGGAUUUAUUGGGUUUAAAGGGAGUGUAGGCGGUCUGUUAAGCGUGUUGUGAAAUUUAGGUGCUCAACAUUUAACUUGCAGCGCGAACUGGCGGACUUGAGUGCACGCAACGUAUGCGGAAUUCAUGGUGUAGCGGUGAAAUGCUUAGAUAUCAUGACGAACUCCGAUUGCGAAGGCAGCGUACGGGAGUGUUACUGACGCUUAAGCUCGAAGGUGCGGGUAUCGAACAGGAUUAGAUACCCUGGUAGUCCGCACGGUAAACGAUGGAUGCCCGCUGUUAGCGCCUGGCGUUAGCGGCUAAGCGAAAGCAUUAAGCAUCCCACCUGGGGAGUACGCCGGCNCGGU
Molecule: ribosomal RNA, 539 nt
Filed under: uncultured bacterium
Lineage: Bacteria
Description: bacterial SSU rRNA
Rfam family: Bacterial small subunit ribosomal RNA
Source: RNAcentral